Molecule: ribosomal RNA, 301 nt
Filed under: uncultured bacterium
Lineage: Bacteria
Description: partial 16S ribosomal RNA
Rfam family: Bacterial small subunit ribosomal RNA
Source: RNAcentral
CAGCCGCCGCGGUAAUACGAGGGGGGCAAGCGUUGUUCGGAAUUAUUGGGCGUAAAGGGCGCGUAGGCGGUUUGACAAGUUUGGUGUGAAAUCUAUGGGCUCAACCCAUAGCCUGCAUCGAAAACUGUCGGGCUUGAGUAUGGGAGAGGUGAGUGGAAUUUCCGGUGUAGCGGUGAAAUGCGUAGAUAUCGGAAGGAACACCUGUGGCGAAAGCGGCUCACUGGACCAUUACUGACGCUGAGGCGCGAAAGCUAGGGGAGCAAACAGGAUUAGAUACCCCCGUAGUCCCUGUCUCUUAUAC